This 305-nucleotide ribosomal RNA is filed under the name uncultured bacterium. RNAcentral describes it as "bacterial SSU rRNA". It matches the Rfam family "Bacterial small subunit ribosomal RNA", at positions 329 to 639 of the family's 1533-position model. The record is from RNAcentral.
UCCCUCCUUUCCUCAUCAGUUAUUAAUAUUUUUCAAUUUUCUAUAUCCUUAACCAGCCAAGCCUCUUUAUUGAAUACUGCCCUAUGGGUUGUAAACCUCUUUUGUCUUAUAACAAAACCCGGGACGUGUCCCGGACUGCGUGUAUCCGAAGAAAAAGCAUCGGCUAACUCCGUGCCAGCAGCCGCGGUAAUACGGAGGAUGCGAGCGUUAUCCGGAUUUAUUGGGUUUAAAGGGUGCGUAUGCUUUCCUUUAAGUCAGCGUGAAAAUUGCGGGGCUCAACCCCGUCGAGCCGUUGAAACUGGCAG